CAGUCGCCGCGGUAAUACGGAGGGUGCGAGCGUUAAUCGGAAUAACUGGGCGUAAAGGGCACGCAGGCGGUGACUUAAGUGAGGUGUGAAAGCCCCGGGCUUAACCUGGGAAUUGCAUUUCAUACUGGGUCGCUAGAGUACUUUAGGGAGGGGUAGAAUUCCACGUGUAGCGGUGAAAUGCGUAGAGAUGUGGAGGAAUACCGAAGGCGAAGGCAGCCCCUUGGGAAUGUACUGACGCUCAUGUGCGAAAGCGUGGGGAGCAAACAGGAUUAGAUACCCCCGUAGUCCCUGUCUCUUAUAC
RNAcentral lists this ribosomal RNA (301 nucleotides) under uncultured bacterium. Its description in RNAcentral is "partial 16S ribosomal RNA". It matches the Rfam family "Bacterial small subunit ribosomal RNA", at positions 509 to 807 of the family's 1533-position model. The record is from RNAcentral.